This 429-nucleotide ribosomal RNA is filed under the name Bacillota bacterium. RNAcentral describes it as "Firmicutes bacterium partial 16S ribosomal RNA". It matches the Rfam family "Bacterial small subunit ribosomal RNA", at positions 355 to 776 of the family's 1533-position model. The record is from RNAcentral. Lineage: Bacteria; Bacillati; Bacillota.
UAGGGAAUCUUCCACAAUGGACGCAAGUCUGAUGGAGCAACGCCGCGUGAGUGAAGAAGGUUUUCGGAUCGUAAAGCUCUGUUGUUGGUGAAGAAGGAUAGAGGCAGUAACUGGUCUUUAUUUGACGGUAAUCAACCAGAAAGUCACGGCUAACUACGUGCCAGCAGCCGCGGUAAUACGUAGGUGGCAAGCGUUGUCCGGAUUUAUUGGGCGUAAAGCGAGCGCAGGCGGAAUGAUAAGUCUGAUGUGAAAGCCCACGGCUCAACCGUGGAACUGCAUCGGAAACUGUCAUUCUUGAGUGCAGAAGAGGAGAGUGGAAUUCCAUGUGUAGCGGUGGAAUGCGUAGAUAUAUGGAAGAAAACCAGUGGCGAAGGCGGCUCUCUGGUCUGCAACUGACGCUGAGGCUCGAAAGCAUGGGUAGCGAACAGG